ACAUGCAAGUCGAGCGGACAGAAGGGAGCUUGCUCCCGGAUGUUAGCGGCGGACGGGUGAGUAACACGUGGGUAACCUGCCUGUAAGACUGGGAUAACUCCGGGAAACCGGAGCUAAUACCGGAUAGUUCCUUGAACCGCAUGGUUCAAGGAUGAAAGACGGUUUCGGCUGUCACUUACAGAUGGACCCGCGGCGCAUUAGCUAGUUGGUGGGGUAAUGGCUCACCAAGGCGACGAUGCGUAGCCGACCUGAGAGGGUGAUCGGCCACACUGGGACUGAGACACGGCCCAGACUCCUACGGGAGGCAGCAGUAGGGAAUCUUCCGCAAUGGACGAAAGUCUGACGGAGCAACGCCGCGUGAGUGAUGAAGGUUUUCGGAUCGUAAAGCUCUGUUGUUAGGGAAGAACAAGUGCGAGAGUAACUGCUCGCACCUUGACGGUACCUAACCAGAAAGCCACGGCUAACUACGUGCCAGCAGCCGCGGUAAUACGUAGGUGGCAAGCGUUGUCCGGAAUUAUUGGGCGUAAAGGGCUCGCAGGCGGUUUCUUAAGUCUGAUGUGAAAGCCCCCGGCUCAACCGGGGAGGGUCAUUGGAAACUGGGAAACUUGAGUGCAGAAAAGGAGAGUGGAAUUCCACGUGUAGCGGUGAAAUGCGUAGAGAUGUGGAGGAACACCAGUGGCGAAGCGACUCUCUGGUCUGUAACUGACCCUGAGGAGCGAAAGCGUGGGGAGCGAACAGGAUUAGAUACCCUGGUAGUCCACGCCCUAGACGAUGAGUGCUAAGUGUUAUGGGGGUUUCCGCCCCUUAGUGCUGCAGCUAACCCAUUAAACACUCCCCCUGGGGACUACGGUCGCGAGAACGGGAGCUCAUAAGAAUUGAACUGGAGGCGCCCCCGGGCGGUGGAAUCGUGUGCUGUUAUUUCCAAGGAACGCCGAGGAGCCUUACCCAGUCGUGAGAU
This 958-nucleotide ribosomal RNA is filed under the name uncultured bacterium. Its description in RNAcentral is "bacterial SSU rRNA". It matches the Rfam family "Bacterial small subunit ribosomal RNA", at positions 53 to 987 of the family's 1533-position model. The record is from RNAcentral.